Molecule: ribosomal RNA, 531 nt
Filed under: uncultured bacterium
Lineage: Bacteria
Description: partial 16S ribosomal RNA
Rfam family: Bacterial small subunit ribosomal RNA
Source: RNAcentral
UGGGGAAUAUUGCACAAUGGGCGAAAGCCUGAUGCAGCAACGCCGCGUGAGUGAUGAAGGCCUUCGGGUUGUAAAGCUCUGUCUUUUGGGACGAUAAUGACGGUACCAAAGGAGGAAGCCACGGCUAACUACGUGCCAGCAGCCGCGGUAAUACGUAGGUGGCAAGCGUUGUCCGGAUUUACUGGGCGUAAAGGAUGCGUAGGCGGAUUUUUAAGUGAGAUGUGAAAUACCCGGGCUUAACUUGGGUGCUGCAUUUCAAACUGGGAAUCUAGAGUGCGGGAGAGGAGAAUGGAAUUCCUAGUGUAGCGGUGAAAUGCGUAGAGAUUAGGAAGAACACCAGUGGCGAAGGCGAUUCUCUGGACCGUAACUGACGCUGAGGCAUGAAAGCGUGGGUAGCAAACAGGAUUAGAUACCCUGGUAAUCCACGCCGUAAACGAUGAGUACUAGGUGUAGGAGGUAUCGACCCCUUCUGUGCCGCAGUUAACACAAUCAAGUACUCCGCCUGGGAAGUACGAUCGCAAGAUUAAAACU